RNAcentral lists this ribosomal RNA (253 nucleotides) under uncultured bacterium. RNAcentral describes it as "partial 16S ribosomal RNA". It matches the Rfam family "Bacterial small subunit ribosomal RNA", at positions 524 to 776 of the family's 1533-position model. The record is from RNAcentral.
UACGGAGGGUGCAAGCGUUGUCCGGAUUUAUUGGGUUUAAAGGGUGCGUAGGCGGCUCUUUAGGUCAGUGGUGAAAGCCUCCAGCUUAACUGGAGAACAGCCAUUGAUACUGAAGAGCUUGAGUACAGACGAGGUAGGCGGGAUUUAUGGUGUAGCGGUGAAAUGCAUAGAUACCAUAAAGAACUCCUAUUGCGAAGGCAGCUUACUAGGCUGUAACUGACGCUGAGGCACGAAAGCGUGGGGAUCAAACAGG